GCGGCAUUAGCUCAGUUGGUAGAGCACUGGAUUGUGAUUCCAGUGGUCACCGGUUCGAACCCGGUAUGUCGCCCCA
This 76-nucleotide transfer RNA is filed under the name Zoogloea resiniphila. RNAcentral's name for it is "tRNA-His". It matches the Rfam family "tRNA". Rfam says of the family: Transfer RNA (tRNA) molecules are approximately 80 nucleotides in length. Lineage: Bacteria; Pseudomonadati; Pseudomonadota; Betaproteobacteria; Rhodocyclales; Zoogloeaceae. The record is from RNAcentral. RNAcentral also lists the same sequence under 16 other names.